CAAAACAACUUCACACAGUAAAGCUCAUUGGUGUCAACUUUGGGGGAGGCACGCAUCUGGGGCGCGGAGAGGUCGAGUGACCCGCUCAUGGACUUGCACCCAGGUCUCACCGAGGCGGGAUUCAUGCCCUUAACCAUUAUGUCAUGCCGCUGGAUGUCCAAUUAAAUGACAACUCACUUGAGGGGGAAACCAAGAAGAAACUGACCAGUCUUAUUAUCGAUUCUUUACUUUUGUUUUGUCUCCAUUCUCCACUGAGCUAAGGGGCUACACUCUCAUUUAUCCAUCAGGUGCCCAUGUGAACAUGUGCUUUUUCUCCUUGAGUAUCUCAAGUAUUUCACGCUUCUCCAGACCUGACAUUUUGUUAUAUUUUUGGUUGAUAAUCUGUUGAGAAAUAGCUUCUUAGAUAAUUUCACCAUCAUCACUCAUGUCUAGGGAAUACCACUUAACCGUUGUGGAAAAAUUAUAGUUACUUAUAAAAUAACCCCUCUCAGGAAGGAAUUUGACCUUGACUGGAGGCCAUCAGGAGCCACUCAGCUUUGGUUAACAGCUCCCAGGAAGUUGUCUCUUGUGAUGGAACUUACUUGAGAAGCGUGGUGGGAUUCUUCAUCUCUUCUCAGUGGUGUCUGUUCACUGGCUUCCCCUCCCACAGCCACCUCUCCUGGAGAUGCAAUUGGCCAAUAUCCCCUCUCAGCUGCCAACUUGUCUCUGAAGGAGGAAAUACUUUGGAAACUUCGUUCCUUUUUAAAGAAAGUCUUUGGGAACCAUUGUUCGGGUAUACGUCACCCUCACUGACCUCAUCCCUGGAUGCCAUGACCUUAAUUUUUGUCUGCCGAGUCGUAUCGUCUUUGUUAAUCUUAAACUAGAGUUAUAGCAUGUGAAAACUUUUGAAAAGAUUAUUUUUGAAGCACUAAAGGUAAGUAAACUAAACUUGAAGUGGAGAAAAUCUUCACGCCUUCGUGGCUAGGAUGAGUGAUAGAAUACUGAAGGAAGACGUCCUCUCAAGCUUUAGCCUGGCUGACACCGACCACAGAGCUCCUGCUACAAGACGACAUCUGUGGGGAUACUGGCCUGGGCUUACUUCACCGUGGUGAUCUGUUUUUCCUGAAGAGAUGAAUUGAGAUCAUGGACGCUCCCUCGGGAGAGCGGCUGCACCAGUUUGCCCAUCUGAUUUACACCUCGGCACCAACAUCAGGUUCCAAAAAUUUCCAUGGGGCGAGCAAGAGAACCUGCCAGCCACCCAAGACAUGGCCCUGCAGACAGGCCUGGAUGCAGCGUCCCCGGCAGACGGUGGACCGUGCUGCAGGACACGGAUGCUUCCAUUCGCUCACCACGAAGAGAGGCGAGCGGCUUCCAGACCUGCGCGCCCAUCAGGCACAGCUCGAAUGAAGCCAGGUCAGGACAGGAGCUGACAGCGGCCACCUCCCAUCCUCCCAUCUCCCACCCGCUCAGAGGCGUCCCUGUACCUAGUUUCUCCAAAUGGCAACAACUCUAGAACAACUGUGAUAUUGACAUUGAUACUGUCCACCAAUCUGAUUCAGUUUCUCCUGUUUACUUGCGCUUACUUGUGUACGUGUGUGUGUUUAACUCUAAGCAAUUUAUUUCAGAUGUGUAGGUUUCUGUAUCCACCAUCACAAUCAAAAUAUGAAACUGUUACAUCACCAUAAGAAUCCUCUUUAUUGCCUAUUUAUAGGAGACUUCCUUCCCCAAUGUGUGUGAACACAUGUGUGUGAACAUAAGUUUUAAUUUCUCUAGGAUAAGUGCUCAAGUGUACAAUUAAUGAGUUGUGUGGCAAUUGCAUGUUUAGUUUUAUAAGAAACUGCCAAACUAUUUUCCAGAGUAACUGUACCAUUUCACGUUCCCACCAGCAAAGUAUGAGUGAUCCAGUUUCUCCUCAUCCUUGCCGGCAUUUGAUGGUGUUGUUUUUUCACCUUUAGUCAUUCUGACAGGCAUGUAGUGAUGUAUCAUUGUGAUUUUAAUUUGCAUUUCCCUAAUGCCUAAUGCUGAGCAUAUUUUCAUGUGCUUACUUGACAUCUGUAUAAUCUUUGGUGAAAUAUCUGUUCAUCUCUUUUGCUCACAAAAUGCAAAAAUCUUUUCACUAGUAAAUUCAUAGAUAUAUCAGCGGAGAUUUGCUAGGAUACAGGUGCAAGAAAGUUCAUUGUAACAAUAUUUUAGGAAUAAAACAGCAACAGCCACAAAGCCCACCCUGGAAACAGUGUAAAGAACGUUAGUAGGGAUUGACCCAAUUAUCACUGCUCUGUGGUAUGAUCAAACAGUGGGGCCAAAUAAUGGGACAAAGGUAAAAGUCUGGAGUCCCUUAAAGAAGGAAAGGUUACCACUCACCUCACAUGGAUUGUGACAUCCCAGAGACGACAGCUCCCAGGGAGAGGACAAGCAUCCCGAACUUCGCUUUCCCAUGGGGCGCUGCAGACACCACCUCAUCGGCCAGGGGUCCCCCUGGGCCCUCUGCAAAGCUCCCUUUGCUUCUGCUUGUGGGGUUUUGGGUCCCCUGGCUUUUUCCAGCCACUCUGGAAAGUCUUCCCACCAGGUGCCAGUUGGAAGUGGAGACCUCAGCACACACCUGGAGCGAUGUACUGAAGACUGAGCUGGUCCAGGCCACUCCAAGUUUCCCACGUUUCUCCUCUGUAAUGGAACCUGACUCUGUGUUUCGAUGUUUGAUUGCUGACACAUCUGAGGCUUCUACUCUCCCUCUUCCCCUGGUGCCCCACAUCCAGGCAAGCUGGAAAGCUCAGCUGCUCCCAGCUUUGGCACGGCGGCAGUUUCAAACCAUGCCAGCCCCUUCCUGGGGACAGUAGCUCCUACCUGGGCCCACCCACAGCCACAACACAAACCCCAAGCCGGUCUCCUUUCCUUGCUCUCUCAGCCAUUUCCAAACCCGCUUGGGAAGCUCUCCUGUUCUUCCCUGAAUGCCUCAUCAUGAAAGUAACUAAUCUUUCACACCCUCUUGGUGUGCGGCCACCGCACCCUCCCUGGUACGUCCAGGCCUGAGGCCCUAUUCUUAUAAUCCAUGACUGAAGUCUGUUCCUAUAACCCAUCCCUGACCUAAGAUUUCAUACUUUUUAACCAGUAAUGCAGUAGGUCUAAUCUCUUUUCAACUUAUUUUUUUAAAAUAAAAUGUUCUUACAUCUCAGGUAGAAAACAAAACAAAUCACAUUUCCGUUGCUACAGUAACACUCUGAAGUCAGUGAGGAAUCAAUUAUACGCAUCACAGUAUUUCACAUUUCUUUCCCAGCAGUUUGUUCCUCCCAACCCCACUCCACCAUUUUUAUUUAUUUAUUUAAAGAUUGGCACCUGAGCUAACACCUGCUGCCCAUCUUUUUUCUUUUUCUUUUUCUUCUCCCCAAAUCCCCCCAGCACAUAGUUGUAUAAUCUAGUUGUGAGUCCUUCUGGUUCUGCUAUGUGGGACGCCACCUCAGCAUGGCCUGAUGAGCGGUGCCAUGUCUGUGCCCAGGAUCCAAACCAGCAACACCCCAGGCCGCUGAAGCAGAGUGCACGAUCUUAACCACUCGGCCACGGGGGCGGCACACCACCAUUUUUAAAUAAAAGAACAUGGCUACUAAUUAACCCAUGUUAGAAGAUUUGCAGUGGUUCUCAAAUGCAAGCUAGUUUGUCCCUUAGGUAGGGUGACCAGUGGUCUUAGUGUGCCCAGGACUUUCCUGAUUUUAGCUCUGAAAGUCUGUAUCCUGGAAACCCCCCAGUCCCAGGUAAGUUGGGACAGUUGGUCACCCUACCCCCAGGGGAUCUUGGUAAGGUCUGGAGACAUUUUUGGUUGUUACGACUGUGUGUGUGUGUGUUCUACUGUAUCUAGUGAGUAGAGGCCACAGACGCUGCUAACCAUCUUACAACAUGUGGACAGUUCACCACAACAAAGGAUAUCCAAAAUGUCAACAGUGCUAAGGUUGAGAAACUGCUGUAGCACUGUGCUCUUCAAAGUGUGGUCUUUGGAUUAGCAGCUUGGAUACCAAGGAGAGUCUGCAUGUUAGAAAUGCAGCAACUCUGGGCCCAUCCCAGAGCCAGUGGGCCGGGGUCAGCCAGCCAUUUAACAAGCCCCCUGGGUGAUUUGCGUACACAUUGAAGCUGGAGAAGUGCUGCUCCAGUAUUUACGGUUUAUUCUUUCUGAGUGUCAGCAUGACACAGGCUCAGACAGUUCUGAUUAAUUAUAUUCACUGAUUUUUAUUGAGCUCCAGUGUCACCAUGGGGUCACCAGUAGCCUCUCUUUCCAGGGUGCCUUCUCACCCAGGGGCCUCUGAAAGCAUUGUUGACCUGUGACACGAUGUCUCAGAUUCAUCUUCUGCUCUCCUGCACCUGGAAGGAACCUUCUUUCUAAAGAGAGCUGCUUCCAUUUAGUGGAGAACAAGACUGAGAGACCAAAACCCGGCCGUGGGGUUGUACAUCUGAGCACGGGAUAGAAUAAGACAAUAGCCAAGAAGUUAAACAGACCUUUCCCUCACAGGGUCCUCCAAUGGGAUCCGUACAGUGAGUGGAUAGAAGCCGUGAAAGGAAACCUUAGAAAAAUACAAGUGACUGCAUUUCAGCCUAACACUCUUCUUUCACCCUUCAUCUGCAUGGGCACUAGUGUCAUUUAUCAUGCACAGUUUUAGUUUUGAACUCCACUUUCUCAAAGACCUUUGGACAAUUACGUAAUAACUAUAGCAAUACAGCAGUCCAAAUUUAAAAAGUUAAUAAAGCAUGUAAGCAAAUACAACUGCGUUAAUAUUAAGAGUCAUCAGAGGUGGAGAGUUAUUUCAUGGGAUGGCCUGUGUUUCAAGGGAAGCAGCUAAAAAUGAGGUGGCAAGUAAUGAUCUGGGAGCAGCAGUUGGAGGCCGGAAGAAUUCUGGGCGGGCGAGCUGCUGGGAAGGUAGGGGCUUGGGGAAACACCAGGCUUCCGCAGAGGCAGGAAGUGAAUUCUGCUAACAACCAAUGAGCUUGAAAAAGAACCUUGAGCCUCUGAUGAGACUGUGGCCCCGGCCAGCACCCUGCCUGCGGCCUGUGAGCGCGUGAGCCCGCGAGCAGAGAACCUGGUUGAGUCAUGCCUGGACUUCUGACCUACAGAACAGUAAAUGGGUGCUGUUUUAAGCUACUAGUUUGUGGUAAUUUGUUACACGGCAAUAGAAAACUAAUACAUUCCACCUUCUAUGUUCAAUUGUAGAGCAUAGGAUCCUUAAUCCUUUCUCUGUCCUGCCAUUCCAGAGGAACUGGUUAAAGUGUGUCAGUGACUGCAGGUCAUCACGGCAGGAUUUUCCCCAGGGAUGGGAGGGGUCGUCUGAAAGAGCCAUCACUUGAUUCUGUUCACCUCUGUUAUCAAUCACUACUGCAAAUGAUUUAGGCAUUUUCUUCCAUUUUUUCUAUUUAUCAAAA
This is a long non-coding RNA of Equus caballus (horse), 5376 nucleotides long. The record is from Ensembl. Lineage: Eukaryota; Metazoa; Chordata; Mammalia; Perissodactyla; Equidae.